AAAAGUUCUUGCUUUCCUUUGUGGACAUCAUGACUUUGGAAAUGAUUCCUCAUGGCCUCCUAUUUGCUGCAAAUACACUUUACUUUGUGAGACAACUUCCACGGGUGUAGAUUCUUAUUUAACUCACCAGGAUGCGGCCCACUUGGUUCAGUAAGAGAAAUGGCAACCCAGAGGGGACAUAUCGCUUCGUAGUGCCUGUGCUGCAGGCUUGACGUUGCUGCCCUGUCGGGAGACCCAGCGGCUGCACUGAUCGUUUUGCUUGGAGGAUCUCUCAAUGGAGGAUAAAGCUGAGGAUGAAAAGGAAGACAAAAAGAUGAAAAGGCAAGCUGCUCUAUUAGUUGCGGCCCUCCAGUCUACUCAAGGUAACCCGAGGGAGAGAAGACGCCAUGGAAGGAGUCACUCCUUGGAUCCACCACACAUGGGUAAAAAAGGUACCCACGCCUGAACAUCAAGAGAUAGCGUUACAGACAACUGACUCCGAGUUUUCCUGCAAACCACUCUCUGAUUUGAAACUCCUGUUUCAGUGACACCAUGCAGGCAAGUAAUGACCAGCUAUCCACCCCAGGCUCUGCCCUGGACCCUAACAAACCCCAUACUAUUUAGGCAUGGUAUACUUCCAAGGAGGUUUCAUGUUUCUGGGCAGCAGGACUAGGUCCAUCAGAGAAAUGGGCAACCCAGUAUCUAGACUAUAAAGAGCUGAUGGAAUCUAGAGGGGGAAGGGCAAGUAUGCCCAGAUACUAAACACAUUGAGGUCAUAAAAUUACAGAUGGUUGCUACAAACAACUUGGGGCUAUGCAUCUGGUGACCCACAAACCUAUUUGAGAUUGCCUGAAAAUUCUGGUCCUCUAUUGAUCACAGGAAGCAGG
Long non-coding RNA from Diceros bicornis minor, 866 nucleotides. RefSeq lists it as uncharacterized. Lineage: Eukaryota; Metazoa; Chordata; Mammalia; Perissodactyla; Rhinocerotidae. The transcript has 3 exons. The record is from RefSeq and is a predicted model, not a curated record.